This 67-nucleotide transfer RNA is filed under the name Saemundssonia lari. RNAcentral describes it as "tRNA-Ser". The record is from RNAcentral. Lineage: Eukaryota; Metazoa; Arthropoda; Insecta; Psocodea; Philopteridae.
GACUGUUAAGUUCGACCGAACGUACGUUUUGAAAGCGUAGGGGUGCCUAUAACUAGGCAAAUAGUCU